Molecule: ribosomal RNA, 527 nt
Filed under: uncultured bacterium
Lineage: Bacteria
Description: bacterial SSU rRNA
Rfam family: Bacterial small subunit ribosomal RNA
Source: RNAcentral
CUCCUACGGGAGGCAGCAGUAAGGAAUAUUGGUCAAUGGACGCAAGUCUGAACCAGCCAUGCCGCGUGGAGGAUGAAGGCCCUCUGGGUUGUAAACUUCUUUUAUCUGGGACGAAAAAGGGACUUUCUAGUUCAACUGACGGUACCCGAGGAAUAAGCACCGGCUAACUCCGUGCCAGCAGCCGCGGUAAUACGGAGGGUGCAAGCGUUAUCCGGAUUCACUGGGUUUAAAGGGUGCGUAGGUGGGCAGGUAAGUCAGUGGUGAAAUCUUUGGGCUUAACCCGAAAACUGCCAUUGAUACUAUUUGUCUUGAAUAUUGUGGAGGUCAGCGGAAUAUGUCAUGUAGCGGUGAAAUGCUUAGAUAUGACAUAGAACACCAAUUGCGAAGGCAGCUGGCUACACAUAUAUUGACACUGAUGCACGAAAGCGUGGGGAUCAAACAGGAUUAGAUACCCUGGUAGUCCACGCCCUAAACGAUGGAUACUCGACAUACGCGAUAUACUGUGUGUGUCUGAGCGAAAGCAUUAA